GUAGUCCUUGCCGUAAACGAUGUGUACUUGAUGUAUUCGGUCUCAACCCCGAGUGUGUCGAAGCUAACGCGAUAAGUACACCGCCUGGGGAGUACGCCCGCAAGGGUGAAACUCAAAAGAAUUGACGGGGACCCGCACAAGCAGUGGAGCAUGUGGUUUAAUUCGAUGCAACGCGAAGAACCUUACCCAGACUUGACAUACAGAGGAAGUCACUAGAGAUAGUGACGUUCGCAAGAACUUCUGAACAGGUGCUGCAUGGCUGUCGUCAGCUCGUGCCGUGAGGUGUUGGGUUAAGUCCCGCAACGAGCGCAACCCUUAUUGUUAGUUGCCAACAGGUGAUGCUGGGAACUCUAACGAGACUGCCCGGGUUAACCGGGA
Molecule: ribosomal RNA, 378 nt
Filed under: uncultured bacterium
Lineage: Bacteria
Description: bacterial SSU rRNA
Rfam family: Bacterial small subunit ribosomal RNA
Source: RNAcentral